Molecule: long non-coding RNA, 710 nt
Filed under: Androctonus crassicauda
Lineage: Eukaryota; Metazoa; Arthropoda; Arachnida; Scorpiones; Buthidae
Source: RNAcentral
GAAGAGACAGUUAAGAUAUGACGCACUACGGAGAAUGCACAGACCGAUUUUCCAACUGCUCGUUUGUGAAAGGGCGCAUGCUCCUAACUGGGUUGUAGCCUGUUCGACUCUCAUUGGUUGUCUUUCACCCCUAGUGCUUGCCACCCUGAUAGAAAGAGAGCACCCACGCUUUGGAAAACUGCCAGCUACGACAGUUAUGGCAGCUUGGGUUGGGCGCACCGAGUGUAUAUUUGUGUCGGUGGUUUCCACUUUAAAACGUCUGGAUAGAACCUUGUCUAGUCUGUUAAAGAUGACCGCAAAACAGUCGCCGUGAAUGCUGAUACCAUCCGACUUUCUCGUUACUUCCUCCUCUUUUCGUUAACGCAUACAAUAACAGAUAUAUUUAUAUAUAUGCAUACAACUAUAUACUCGCUUAUCUUCUCUGUUUUCGUCGAGACUCCUCUAUUAAAUACCAGAGCGCCAUAUUGGUGACUGUAAGUACUUUAACGAUUUAUAUAUAUUUGCUCCGUUUGCUUUAUAUUUUUCUUCCACUAAUGAGAUCGCACUAUUCGUCACGCCGGCAUCUGGAACAGCUGAUGAUGAAAAGUAUCGAGAAUUUAUGCAAAUUAGCAAGAGCGCUUUUCUACUUUUUCAAUCGAUCUUCUUCUCCUCGCACCUAACCACAUAUUAUUAUUAUUAUUAUUAUUAUUAAUCUUGAAAAAAAAUAUAUU